Molecule: unclassified non-coding RNA, 1418 nt
Filed under: uncultured Neocallimastigales
Lineage: Eukaryota; Fungi; Neocallimastigomycota; Neocallimastigomycetes; Neocallimastigales
Description: partial contains small subunit ribosomal RNA, internal transcribed spacer 1, 5.8S ribosomal RNA, internal transcribed spacer 2, and large subunit ribosomal RNA
Rfam family: Eukaryotic large subunit ribosomal RNA (bases 661-1418)
Source: RNAcentral
UUUCCGUAGGUGAACCUGCGGAAGGAUCAUUAAAAAAUUGGACUCCAUUGGUGAGUUCAUUAAUAAUCCCUACCCUUUGUGAAUUUGUUUGUUUGGAUAAUUUUUUUUCCAAAAAAAAAUUAUUGAAUGUCUUUCCCUGUUUUGGUGGAGCUUGUAAAGUGAAACCAGGCAGGGGAAUGGCAAACAAUAAUUAUUUUUGAAAAAAGACCUUUUUUAAAAUUAAACUUUUUGUAUUCAUUUGUCUAAAAUUAUUUUUAUAAUAUAAAAACAACUUUUGACAAUGGAUCUCUUGGUUCUCGCAACGAUGAAGAACGCAGCAAAAUGCGAUAAGUAGUGUGAAUUGCAGAAUACGUGAAUCAUCGAAUCUUCGAACGCAUAUUGCACUUUUUUAGUUUACUAAAAAAGUAUGUCUGUUUGAGUAUCAGUAAAAUAUUCUCAUAAAAAACAUUGUUUUUUUAUGGUUAUGAGUGUUUUACAACGAUAACAAGUUGUUUCACUUUAAAUUCUUUGUUAUCAAAAAAAUCAUUAAAAGCUAAUUUUAAAGAUUUUUUAAAAUUGGAUAAAAUUUUCCCGUAAAAAGGAAUAACCUAAACAAUUUUAAAAAAUUAAAAUUGGUUUGAUUUUUUUUGAAACCCAAAGGAAAAAAAAACGAAAUUAACUUGAUCUCAAAUCAGAUAAGAGUACCCGCUGAGCUUAAGCAUAUCAAUAAGCGGAGGAAAAGAAACUAACUAGGAUUCCCUUAGUAACGGCGAGUGAAGCGGGAAGAGCUCAAAUUUGAAAUCUUCAAGGUUUUACCUUGACGAAUUGUAGUUUAAAGAAGUGUUUUCUGUUGAAGUUUUGGUAAAAGUUCUUUGGAAUAGGACAUCAUAGAGGGUGAGAAUCCCGUAUUUGACCAUUAUUUUCCAGCUGUGUGAUACACUUUCGAAGAGACGGAUUGUUUGGGAAUGCAGUCCAAAAUGGGUGGUAAAUUUCAUCUAAAGCUAAAUAUUGGCGAGAGACCGAUAGCGAACAAGUACCGUGAGGGAAAGAUGAAAAGAACUUUGAAAAGAGAGUUAAACAGUACGUGAAAUUGUCAAAAGGGAAGCGUUUGACACCAGUGUUGCUUUCUCGAAAAUCAACUAAAAAGAGUGGAUUUUGUGUUGUAUUGACCUUAACAGCUUCUGCAUUUAAUUUUCUUGCUUUUUUUAAUGCACUUUUCGUUUAACAAGUCAACAUCAGUUUCUUUUGUUGUAUAAGGGUCAUUGGAAGGUGGCUUUCUUUUCGGAGAAAGUGUUUAUAGCCUUUGACUCUGCAAUCGGUGAGAUUGAGGUCUGCAGCGUAGAUCCUUCGGGGUUAGAUACAUUUGUGCUAAGUUAUAGCCUUUUAUAGACAACUUGUUGACUAUGAUCAGUCAUGUAGCUUACUCGCUUAUGCUAUUU